RNAcentral lists this ribosomal RNA (207 nucleotides) under uncultured bacterium. Its description in RNAcentral is "partial 16S ribosomal RNA". It matches the Rfam family "Bacterial small subunit ribosomal RNA", at positions 568 to 774 of the family's 1533-position model. The record is from RNAcentral.
CGCGUAGGCGGGGAGGUAAGUCGGGUGUGAAAUCCCUCGGCCCAACCGAGGAACUGCGCCCGAAACUGCUUCUCUUGAGUCCCGGAGAGGAAGAUGGAAUUCCCGGUGUAGCGGUGAAAUGUGUAGAGAUCGGGAGGAACACCGGUGGCGAAGGCGGUCUUCUGGACGGUGACUGACGCUGAGGCGCGAAAGCGUGGGGAGCAAACG